RNAcentral lists this long non-coding RNA (569 nucleotides) under Homo sapiens (human). RNAcentral's name for it is "non-protein coding lnc-RPS17-2:11". The record is from RNAcentral. Lineage: Eukaryota; Metazoa; Chordata; Mammalia; Primates; Hominidae.
AAAUGACUUGUGCCUUGGCCUGCAGUCCCUCAGUCUGACAGGCUGGGACCGACCCUGGAGCACCCAGGACUCAGAUUCCUCAGCCCAGAGCAGCACACACUCGGUACUGAGCAUGCUCCAUAACCCACUGGGAAAUGUCCUAGGAAAACCCCCCUUGAGCUUCCUGCCUCUGGAUCCCCUUGGGUCUGACUUGGUGGACAAGUUUCCAGCACCCUCAGUUAGAGGAUCACGCCUGGACACCCGGCCCAUCCUGGACUCUCGAUCUAGCAGCCCCUCUGACUCAGACACCAGUGGCUUCAGCUCUGGAUCAGAUCAUCUCUCAGAUUUGAUUGUAUGUAACUCAUUUGGGAAAGGGGAGUUGUGGGUGGAGUUGCCUGUGUGUGUCCAAGGGGAAGGAGGGUACAAUAUCUAUGGGAUGCCUGUCCCCUGGAAUGCAGGCUGGGAGAUGGGAUGAGGGGAGGAGUGGAGAUUAUUGUGGACAUUUGUAGAGUUCUCAUCCUUAACAGGAUAGAGGAUGCUUUGAAGACCCAUUGAGCAAUACAUUGCAGGACCUGAGCUCAGGACUCUCA